Molecule: long non-coding RNA, 1269 nt
Organism: Rattus norvegicus (Norway rat)
Lineage: Eukaryota; Metazoa; Chordata; Mammalia; Rodentia; Muridae
Source: RefSeq, a predicted model, not a curated record
GACAAUUACCAUGGGGAAAUAGCAGCAGUCUGAGUCUGGCCGAUGUGGCUCACAUCUUGAUCCAUAUCAUGAGGCAGAAAAAGAGGGACAGAUUGGGAAAGGCCAGAGUAUUUUGAAACCUCAAAGCCUGGCCUUCUCCAACAGGCUGUACCUCUUAAUUCUUCCCAAACAGUUCUAUAAACCGGGGACCAAGCAUUUAGUUGAUGAGCCUUUGGCGGGAGUAGGGGAUGGGAUAGGGGUGAGUAGACUCAUUCAAGCCACUAGGAAAUUUGGAAGAGGUUAAAGUCUUCAGUAGAGACAUGGGGCCUGGCCUCUGUCUACCUCUCUGCCCACCCCUGUGUUCCACACAACUGCUGUGUCCCUGUUCUCCCAGCCCUUGUCCUCACGUCUUGCCACCAAAGGCCUAUCCACUCUGAUUGAAACACUUCCUCCAAUCUGUCUUUAGCCUUAAGGCCACAUCCUUCUGUUUCAGGUUCACUUCCCCAGGAACCUUUUGUCCCAAGCCUGAACUGUCUCCCUCGUUCUGAUUUUUGUAACCAAUAUGGUUUCUCUUUCUGACCUUAAUUGCCACCCUGAGUUCUGUGACAUGUUUGCUUGCUUCCAGUGUGUCUUCAUUUGAAGUGGGAAAUCCAUGAUGGCCAAUAUGUUUUCUUCACUGCUGUCUUCUCGACUGGCCCUCAAACAAUUGCUGAGAGGUCUGGCUUAUCUGCCACAGCCUGGUCCUGCUUAGAUACAGCUGCUCAAUAUUUCCUCAAAGGCAGAGGCUGGGCCAGGGACUUGAAACAUGACUGUACUGGAGAGGAUCCCAGGAAGCAGGCCAUGAUACUGGGAAGAUGGGAGAAGUGAGGAGGAAACGUCUCCUCAGGGAUGUGCUACUGGGGUCAGUAUCCUGUGACCUGAAGGCCUGGAGUCUGCAGCCUACAGAACUAGCUGUCUGUCUGGGACAGAUGGAGCAAUGGCAGCUCCUACCCGCACAAGUUGUAGGAUCCCCUAGUGACCUGAACAGCACACGGAAAGACAACAGUUUGGUUUAGAUCUAGUGGAAUUCUAGGACAUCAGGGAAAAUCCUGGGGAGGAAGCAAAUCUUCUUGAGAUGAGAGCCAACCAAACAGUAAGGGAUUACAGCUGUUCUGGGCCAUGACACUCCCUCCAGCGUCUCUGAAAUCAGAAGCAAGCUGGGUAAGAAGGAAACCUGUAAUCAUGAAGGCAACGAUCAUUUGUUGAGUACUUGUCUGUUAUUCAUUCACUAAUAAAUAUUUGCUAAGAGUC